Molecule: long non-coding RNA, 314 nt
Filed under: Mytilus galloprovincialis (Mediterranean mussel)
Lineage: Eukaryota; Metazoa; Mollusca; Bivalvia; Mytilida; Mytilidae
Source: RNAcentral
UAAAUAAAGGCAACAGUAGUAUACCGCUGUUCAAAACUCAUAAAUCCAUGGACAAAAAACUAAAUCGGGGUAACAAACUAAAACCGAGGGAAACGCAUUAAAUAUAAGAGGAGAACAACGACACAACACUAAAAUUUAACACACACAGAAACGGACCAAGCAUCAGACAAAAUCCUACGAGAAUAACAAAUAUAACAUCAAAACCAUACAUAAUGGGAAUUUAGAGACAAGUACCGUGACACGUCUUAUCGCAAUGUGAAUUUACACUUAAAAAUAAGAGAAAACAAACGACGCAACGUUAAAAUGUAACACAC